RNAcentral lists this ribosomal RNA (494 nucleotides) under uncultured bacterium. RNAcentral describes it as "partial 16S ribosomal RNA". It matches the Rfam family "Bacterial small subunit ribosomal RNA", at positions 28 to 507 of the family's 1533-position model. The record is from RNAcentral.
GACGAACGCUGGCGGCGCGCUUAACACAUGCAAGUCGAACGGAAAGGCCUGCUUUCCCUUGUGGAUUGCGGGUACUCGAGUGGCGAACGGGUGAGUAACACGUGAGUGAUCUGCCCCCAACUUGGGUAUAAGCCUGGGAAACUGGGUCUAAUUCCCGAUAGGACUGCAGGGUGGUGCCUGUGGUGGAAAACGAUUUUCUAGUGGUUGGGGAUGAGCUCGCGGCCUAUCAGCUUGUUGGUGGGGUAAUGGCCUACCAAGGCGGCGACGGGUAGCCGGCCUGGGAGGGUGGACGGCCGCAUUGGGACUGGGAUACGGCCCCGACUCCUACGGGCGGCAGCAGUGGGGAAUAUUGCACAAUGGGCGGAAGCCUGAUGCAGCGACGCCGCGUGGGGGAUGACGGCCUUCGGGUUGUAAACUCCUUUCGACCGCGAGGAAGCCACCUGGUUGGAAGGGUGGUGACGGUAGUGGUAGAAGAAGCACCGGCUAACUACGUG